This 86-nucleotide transfer RNA is filed under the name Colletotrichum orchidophilum. It matches the Rfam family "tRNA". Rfam says of the family: Transfer RNA (tRNA) molecules are approximately 80 nucleotides in length. Their secondary structure includes four short double-helical elements and three loops (D, anti-codon, and T loops). Further hydrogen bonds mediate the characteristic L-shaped molecular structure. tRNAs have two regions of fundamental functional importance: the anti-codon, which is responsible for specific mRNA codon recognition, and the 3' end, to which the tRNAs corresponding amino acid is attached (by aminoacyl-tRNA synthetases). tRNAs cope with the degeneracy of the genetic code in two manners: having more than one tRNA (with a specific anti-codon) for a particular amino acid; and 'wobble' base-pairing, i.e. permitting non-standard base-pairing at the 3rd anti-codon position. Lineage: Eukaryota; Fungi; Ascomycota; Sordariomycetes; Glomerellales; Glomerellaceae. The record is from Rfam by way of RNAcentral.
UCCGAUAUGGUGUAGUGGCCAACAUGAUGCCCUCUCAUUGUGUGAGAGGCCAGGCAUAGCCCCGAGUUCGAUUCUCGGUUUCGGAA